RNAcentral lists this ribosomal RNA (421 nucleotides) under uncultured Proteiniphilum sp. RNAcentral's name for it is "bacterial SSU rRNA". It matches the Rfam family "Bacterial small subunit ribosomal RNA", at positions 356 to 774 of the family's 1533-position model. Lineage: Bacteria; Pseudomonadati; Bacteroidota; Bacteroidia; Bacteroidales; Dysgonomonadaceae. The record is from RNAcentral.
GAGGAAUAUUGGUCAAUGGGCGCGAGCCUGAACCAGCCAAGUAGCGUGAAGGAUGACUGCCCUACGGGUUGUAAACUUCUUUUAUACGGGAAUAAAGUGCCUCCCCUGGGGGGUUUUGCAUGUACCGUAUGAAUCAGGAUCGGCUGUCUCCGUGCCAGCAGCCGCGGUAAUACGGAGGAUCCGAGCGUUAUCCGGAUUUAUUGGGUUUAAAGGGUGCUCAGGCGGGGGGCUAAGUCGGCGGUGAAAUUUUGCAGCUCAACUGUAAAAGUGCCUUCGAAACUGGUUCCCUUGAGUGCGGAUGAGGUAGGCGGAAUUUGUGGUGUAGCGGUGAAAUGCAUAGAUAUCACGAGGAACUCCGAUUGCGCAGGCAGCUUACCAAGCCGUAACUGACGCUCAAGCACGAAGGCGUGGGGAUCAAACA